GCCGCCAUAGUGUUCAAGUAGCAUUCUAGAAUUGGUAAUCUCAGAGUUGUGGGUUCAAAUCCCACUGGCGGCA
Molecule: transfer RNA, 73 nt
Filed under: Boseongicola sp.
Lineage: Bacteria; Pseudomonadati; Pseudomonadota; Alphaproteobacteria; Rhodobacterales; Paracoccaceae
Description: tRNA-Thr
Rfam family: tRNA
About the family: Transfer RNA (tRNA) molecules are approximately 80 nucleotides in length. Their secondary structure includes four short double-helical elements and three loops (D, anti-codon, and T loops).
Source: RNAcentral